This is a long non-coding RNA of Saccostrea cuccullata (small rock oyster), 3580 nucleotides long. RefSeq lists it as uncharacterized. The transcript has 6 exons. The record is from RefSeq and is a predicted model, not a curated record. NCBI's taxonomy places the organism in Eukaryota, Metazoa, Mollusca, Bivalvia, Ostreida, Ostreidae.
CUUAUUCACGGCAACGUAUAGGAACCAGAACAGGGAACCAGUCUAGAAGGCAAAGAAAAUUCCGCCAAAUAAACAACAAAGAAAGGGAUUUGGGAUGUUGUCAGUUGUAUGUAUACAUUAUGUGCGACGGUGACUGCAAGAAAAAAGGAAUGUGGAGCUAAUGCAUGCUGCUAAGGAUGGAAAGGUCUUGUGUUAUUGGUUGUGCCUGAGACACCAGUCACAGGUGUACCUUAUUUCCAUUUUAGGGAGUCUAUAUACAUAUGAGGUGAGCGGCAGAUUUAAUUUUGAAGAUGGGUGACUUUCAGAUGUUGUGAUGAAGAUUGUUGAAAGGGAUUAUCAACGUAGAACCAAUCCAUAUGAAUGUGCAAGUCAGAAAAAAGGAAUAUGGAGCUAAUGCAUGCUGCUAAGGAUGGCAAGGUCUUGUGUUUAUUGGUUGUGCCUGAGACACCAGUCACAGGUGUACCUUAUUUCCAUUUUAGGGAGUCUAUAUACAUAUGAGGUGAGCGGCAGAUUUAAUUUUGAAGAUGGGUGACUUUCAGAUGUUGUGAUGAAGAUUGUUGAAAGGGAUUAUCAGCGUAGAACCAAUCCAUAUGAAUGUGCAAGUUAGGACUUGUACAACACCUGAGUACCUAGAUGACUGUUGAACUAAUUGGUGAAGAAAAGAUGUCAGAGAGGGGAAUCCAAUACAGAUGCCAUGAUCAAGAAUAUAUACUCUUAACAAUGAUAUGAUCAAGAAUAUGUAAACUUGUAACGAUUUAAAAUAUCUUAUCUGUAAAUCACUCUUCAUUAUUUAAUUGUUCACACAUUAUCAUCUACACUUAUGCUAUAAAUCUUAUCUGUAUAUUAAUCACCCCCUCUUAUCUAACUCCCCUGCUGUCUGAUCGUAAUGACCUGUGUAUUGACUCCUGAUUUUAAAGAUCUUGUAAUGUGCUCCUGAUUGUCAGGAAUGGAUCUUGAGUAUAUAUAUAGUGCAACAGAAUUUUAGAAUAAGAUAGGAAGAUGGAAAUAUAGAAGACUUAGUAGAUAGAACUCUAGUUAGAGAUAGAUAAAGUUACUCACUUACUUGGACUAUUACAUAAUAUUUCUUGGAUUUAUAUGUACAUGUGAUUGUUUUACUUGAAUUUAUUUUUUGUGAAUUAUUUUUCCUGAAUGUUUCUAUUUAUGAUGUGCUGUGUAAGUAAACUGUAGACUAGAAUUUCGGCAUCUAUUUUCAAGAUAUGAGGAACAAGGAUAAAUUAAUUUAUUCAUGCAAACUGACAUUAUGAAAUGUGUUGUAAGACAGCUCGGUGCGGCGCUACAAACUAACUAGGAAAUAUCUUGGAGAUUUAUAGAUGAACAUGCAAGCAUUCAUGAUUUUGAAUGUUAUUCAGCCAGAGAGUUUUUUGCACAAAUUUAAUUUUCAGUACAGUAAUUUAAACUGGAUGUGUAAUUUUCAGUACAGUUAUAUAAAAUGAAUAUGUUACUUAUUAUGAUUGUCAAUUUCUCAACAGAACAUAAUUGUAGUUUAUUUAUACGAUCAGUCUUGCAGAACAAAACACACAGAACUUUUUUUUUCUCUGUGUGCAUCAUACACUUGUAAAUGUUUUACACCACCAUGUUUACAUAUUUUACUUUGAUGACAUGUAAAUCGAGCACACACAUGAAAAUGCGUAUAUCUGGAUACAUGCAAACAUGCAUCUACCAUAACCUAUUAAAUAUUUUCCAAGGUGUGUGAAGUCGAGCACAUACAUGAAAGUGUGUGAAGCUGGACACAUACACAAAUACACAUGCAUCUGCCACAACCCUAUUACAUAUUUUCCAAGGCGUGUGAAGUCGAGCACAUACAUGAAAAUGUGUGAAGCUGGACACAUAUGCAAACACACUAACAUAUACAUACCACAGACAUAAAAACAUAAUCUAAACUAAGUCAAGCACAGACAGGCUCACUGGGUGAAGCUGGAUUCAUACAUGAUCUCAUGCAUUUUGCAAACUGCAUCCUCACAUAUAUUCUAAUAGAUUUUUCACCAUUUUUUGUGUUUGUGAAUAUGUAAAAUGCGUCAUUUUGCAUUACAAGUUGAAGAUGUUAUUAGCCUGUAUGUAAGCGCAAAUUAAAUAGCCUUUUAUGUAAUUUUUUCACAUUUUAAAUUCAAUUUAAACUGCAAAGUUUAUUUCAUAUAUGUACAUGCACCAUAAAGAAUAAAUAAUAUUGUACCGGUAUUAUAUUUUAAAGUGAAAUGGGACCUCCAUUUCAUAAGCAGAAAUGUGAAAUUUAUACUUAUCAUCUGUAUUUUUUUUUUAUUUUGUCUCACAUGUAUCUGAAUGUGUAAAGGAAAACAAAAGUCAAAGAUAGCUCAAUAUAAUGUUUAUAUUCAAGGUUAUAACUGGAUAUUGUUUGUGCUGUAAUCUGACUCAUCAUAUGAUGAGAAGCCAAAAUACAGAAUAUUUUAGAUCAUUUUUGCUUGGAAAAUGAAAAUUAUCAAUAUGCCAAUUUUUCCCAUUGUUAUAUUAUUAAUUAAUAUAUCAUUAAUAUCAAUGUACAUAUGAAAAAUCUACGCCAUCCAAUUCAGUGAGUUGUAGGCAAUCCUGGUGCAGAUAAUAUUUUUUUCCCGUGUUUCGUAGUAGAGCGGGAACACAUUGUAUUAGAGGAACGUAUAUUAAUGGGUUUUGAUGUAUAUGUGGGUGUUGCCAAAGGAAGGCCAAUGAGAAAUGAGUAUUCAGUAAGGUGUUCAAAUCAUUCUAAGCCAGUGCUCUUCAAUACACACACAUUUUUUGCUUUAUAUAUAAUAUAUAUCAUAUUUGUAUGAAUAUACUGGUAAUGGAAAUAACAAAACUGUAAUAAUAUACCUUUAAUUUUAAUUUGGAUUUUUACAUACAUGCAAAUAUUAUAGGGUGUUCGUGCAUUUUUAACUAUUGCACUGAAUGCACGUCCGGCAUUCUCUCUUGAGACAUUAUUUACAUAGCGACGGACACAGGUUUUCCAUAGUUAACCAUCUAUGGUUUUUGCCUGGGCGGUUUUUAAUGUCUGUGAUAGGGGUAUAAUUUAUUACAGGUAAAAUAUUUUACAAAUGCAUUCCAGUGCUUUAUUGUUUCACAUUCAAUGUAAUGUAUGUUAGAUUUGUAUCAAAAUAAACGCCAGCUGCUCCAAUUAAGCUAACCUGGCUUACAGCAUAGUUGUUGUAUUAUUUGAGGUGUAGUCUGUCAAAUAAUGAUGAGUCGAGUGUUUGAUUCUGUAGAUGACCAUUUCUAAUACUAAUUUCAACUGGAAAUGGAUACAAGAUAAUAAAAAAAUAUCUUUGACAUUUGUCUUAAAAUUCUGGGUCCUCACUAGAUUAGAUUCUUAACUAACUGUGAAAAUCCAAGGAUAAGUGUAUUAAACAAUAGUCAGCAUUUAAAUAAGACUUUUAUAAAAUAUGUAUAUUUAAUGAACUUUAAUAUGGCAUUAAAGGUGAAAGGUUAUAUUUAAUUAUCUUUUCCUGUAAGUAAAGGUUACCUUUUCACCUUUACUUUUUGUAAAGUUAAUACAAAGAUGACCUUGCUUUUUGGAGCACCUUUAAUGAAAUUUACUUUGCAAGUAAAGUUUUGUAAAGGUGUUUUUUCAAGC